UAGUGGUAAUAGGUGGUGGAGGCGAAUAAUACUUUUAGUAAUGACCACCUUUUAGAGCGCUGUGAUUGAUUUUAAAAAUUCACGAUUCACUUUUCAAAAAGUUGUCCAAACCGGAAGGAAAGCAUAUAUAUAGCUAAAAUGAAAAUUAUGUUUUUAUAUAAAAUUACUAUUAAAACAUUUAAAACAAUAUUUUUAAUGUAAAAGGUAAAAGGAAAUUGUAUAAAUAAAUAAUGAAAAUAAUUUAAUUAGAGCGAUAUCUGGUGGGUAAAGUGUGAACUAACAUGGCGUCUUUGCUCUUUGCAUUGCUAGUCUACCUUCUCAAUUGUGUAUUCCAUGCUCAAGAGAGAGACAACGCGCCAAGUCAAGCUCAUUUCGAAAAUGUCGUAAAAUUUUUAUCAUCGAAGUGUUUUAUUGAAUUGUUCUGACAGUUGGCAGUGUCUAAAGUCAUUUAAGAAGAAGAAGAGGAAGAAGUAUUUUAUUGUUAAUAUAGUGUUUUCAACAAUGAUAUUCUAUUCUGUUUGGACAAUGCAUACUGUUCUUCGUAGCAGGAGCACGUGCUUUCCAUUAUCAUUUCUUUGCAUUAUAGUGACGCAUCACAUGGAAGAUUUUCGACAGAGUUCGGAAGGGGAAGAAAAGUCAAAAAGGACAUAGAAGAAUUUUCGAAAAUGUAGGUACAAAAUUGAUAGGAAGAAACGCCAGAAGUAAAGGGAUGGAUCGAUGACUGUGGACACUGAAUGGCCAAACAUUCAACUUACUAAAGUAAAGUAGAGUUGAAAAUUUCAUUAAAUUUCCAAUACUAAAAUUUGGUUUUUAAUUUUUUUAUCAUUAAAAAGCACACAAUGAC
Molecule: long non-coding RNA, 844 nt
Organism: Leptopilina heterotoma
Lineage: Eukaryota; Metazoa; Arthropoda; Insecta; Hymenoptera; Figitidae
Exons: 3
Source: RefSeq, a predicted model, not a curated record